This is a long non-coding RNA of Cajanus cajan (pigeon pea), 704 nucleotides long. RefSeq lists it as uncharacterized. The record is from RefSeq and is a predicted model, not a curated record. Lineage: Eukaryota; Viridiplantae; Streptophyta; Magnoliopsida; Fabales; Fabaceae.
AAUAGACGAGUCCUUCUUUGCUCGCUUCUCAACCACUAAAUGUGAAUGUGACCACCAUCCGUACUUGGAAGCUCCAUAUUUUUUGUUGGAUGGGUUGUAUUUGUAUCCAAGAGUCAGCAUAUUAGGAUUGUAGAAAAUGGAAAGAAAGGCUAGAAAGCUGGUUUUCGGAGGAUUGAAUUUCGCGGGUAGAGCUUUGGGAAAAAUUCUUCUUCUUCUCAAAUUCUUGGUUGUUCGGAGCCAAUCUUCAGGUUUUUGAUGAAACUUUUGAAGUUGGGAGGUUGCUGUUUGAACUUGCGCGGGCGUGCUUUCAUCAGGGACCUCCAUUAUCAAAUCACGCCAGGCACGAGGUUAGUCACGCCGGGCACAAUUUCAAAUGAGAAUCUCUGAUGGUGGCUCAUUGUGGUGUUUUACUGAUAUAGAGCUAGGCGCGUGAAAGGUGCGUCCGGCGCAGGGUGAUUGCGCCGGGCGUGGAGACUCCUAUGAGUCUUUGUCUCAAUGAUGUCGGGCGUGGGGAUUCUACGCCGGGCGUGGAGGAGUUUUAGAACUCUCUGCUUGAGCUUAGGCCGGGCGCAAGAUGGUUGCCCCGGGCGUGAGUACGUUGAAUUAUUUGGUUAAGUUGUGGAGUUGCCUAAUGAAGAUGAGUUGAGUAGUUGUUGAUCUAAGUUGUUUAUAUGUUGUUAUUGAUGAAAUUUGUAUAAGUUGAA